This 262-nucleotide ribosomal RNA is filed under the name Xerocomellus zelleri. RNAcentral's name for it is "5.8S ribosomal RNA". The stretch from base 11 to 165 matches the Rfam family "5.8S ribosomal RNA". From Rfam's summary of the family: 5.8S ribosomal RNA (5.8S rRNA) is a component of the large subunit of the eukaryotic ribosome. It is transcribed by RNA polymerase I as part of the 45S precursor that also contains 18S and 28S rRNA. The record is from RNAcentral. Lineage: Eukaryota; Fungi; Basidiomycota; Agaricomycetes; Boletales; Boletaceae.
AAAUAAAUACAACUUUCAGCAACGGAUCUCUUGGCUCUCGCAUCGAUGAAGAACGCAGCGAAUUGCGAUAAGUAAUGUGAAUUGCAGAUUUUCAGUGAAUCAUCGAAUCUUUGAACGCACCUUGCGCUCCUUGGUAUUCCGAGGAGCAUGCCUGUUUGAGAGUCAUGUAAUUCUCAACCAUGUCUUGAUUGAUUUCGAGGCAUGGCUUGGACUUGGGGGCUGCUGGCGGCGAAAGCUGUCGGCUCUCCUGAAAUGCAUUAGC